RNAcentral lists this ribosomal RNA (253 nucleotides) under uncultured bacterium. RNAcentral's name for it is "partial 16S ribosomal RNA". It matches the Rfam family "Bacterial small subunit ribosomal RNA", at positions 524 to 776 of the family's 1533-position model. The record is from RNAcentral.
GACGUAGGGCGCAAGCGUUGUCCGGAUUUAUUGGGCGUAAAGAGCUCGUAGGCGGCUUGUUGCGUCGACCGUGAAAACCCGUGGCUCAACUGCGGGCUUGCGGUCGAUACGGGCGGGCUAGAGUUCGGUAGGGGAGACUGGAAUUCCCAGUGUAGCGGUGAAAUGCGUAGAUAUUGGGAGGAACACCAGUGGCGAAGGCGGCUCACUGGACCGGAACUGACGCUGAGGCGCGAAAGCGUGGGGAGCAAACGGG